RNAcentral lists this ribosomal RNA (486 nucleotides) under uncultured bacterium. RNAcentral's name for it is "bacterial SSU rRNA". It matches the Rfam family "Bacterial small subunit ribosomal RNA", at positions 29 to 509 of the family's 1533-position model. The record is from RNAcentral.
AUUGAACGCUGGCGGCGUGCCUAACACAUGCAAGUCGAGCGGUAACAGGGUGUGGCAAUACAUGCUGACGAGCGGCGACGGGUGAGUAACGCUUGGGAAUCUGCCUAGUUAGUGGGGGACAACCCGGGGAAACUCGGGCUAAUACCGCAUACGCACUACGGUGGAAAGCCGGGGACCGCAAGGCCUGGCGCUAACAGAUGAGCCCAAGUCGGAUUAGCUAGUUGGUAGGGUAACGGCCACCAAGGCGACGAUCCGUAACUGGUCUGAGAGGACGACCAGUCACACCGGAACUGAGACACGGUCCGGACUCCUACGGGAGGCAGCAGUGGGGAAUAUUGGACAAUGGCGAAAGCCUGAAUCCAGCGACGCCGCGUGGGUGAAGAAGGCCUGCGGGUUGUAAAGCCCUUUCAGUGGGAAGAAAAGCCUCGAGCUAACACCUCGGGUCUUGACGUAACCCAUAGAAGAAGCACCGGCUAACUCUGUGCC